Molecule: long non-coding RNA, 487 nt
Organism: Dermacentor silvarum
Lineage: Eukaryota; Metazoa; Arthropoda; Arachnida; Ixodida; Ixodidae
Exons: 4
Source: RefSeq, a predicted model, not a curated record
CAUUCCCCGUGAGGCUUCAUGAGCAGGAGCGACAGAAACAAUGGAUCGCCGCCGUUCGUCGGGAAAGUGCAGAUGGCAUUCCGUGGCAGCCUACCAGACACACCAGGAUUUGCAGCUGUCACUUUGUAAAUGGCGAGAAGUCGAGCGAUCCGAGAAGCCCUGCCUAUCUACCAACCUUGUUUCGAAUUGUGUACAGGUCUACCAACGUUGCUACUGCACACAGGUAUGAAAGGCUCCGGUCACAUGAGAAGCACGGACAAGCCACAUGGAGCUGUGUGUUGCCAGUUCCUGACGACCAAGAAUGGGGUGGUGCAACUGCAGUGCACACAAGUGUAGGAACGCAGACAGACCCUUGCACAUGGUUCUCGGAGGUGGAUAUGCCGAGCCUCUUCUUUUGUUGUUUAAAAGAAUGCGAAGCUGAGACACAGGUAGGAUGAGGCUUACUAGAGUGGCUUGUACACAUUUGAUCUUGCGUGUGCUUGUUUAA